CUUGUACUCCCUCCGUUCCAUAAUUCUUGUCUCAAAUUUGUUAAAAAAUGGAUGUAUCUGUUCCUAAAAUGUGUCUAGAUACAUGUAAUAUUUCGACAAGAAUUAUGAAACGGAGGGAGUAUUUU
Brachypodium distachyon (stiff brome) is the source of this 125-nucleotide non-coding RNA. NCBI's taxonomy places the organism in Eukaryota, Viridiplantae, Streptophyta, Magnoliopsida, Poales, Poaceae. The record is from Rfam.